This 683-nucleotide non-coding RNA is filed under the name Caenorhabditis japonica. RNAcentral describes it as "Eukaryotic large subunit ribosomal RNA". It matches the Rfam family "Eukaryotic large subunit ribosomal RNA", at positions 1 to 2549 of the family's 3401-position model. The record is from Rfam by way of RNAcentral. Lineage: Eukaryota; Metazoa; Nematoda; Chromadorea; Rhabditida; Rhabditidae.
CAACCUGAACUCAGUCGUGAUUACCCGCUGAACUUAAGCAUAUCAUUUAGCGGAGGAAAAGAAACUAAAAAGGAUUCCCCUAGUAACGGCGAGUGAAACGGGAAGAGCCCAGCGCCGAAUCGAUCAGUCUUUGGCUGCUUCGAAAUGUGGCGUAUAGGUGUAGUCUUCCAGCAGUGUGUGUGUGCUUUGUGUGUGCUUUGACCUCGGUCUUAGUAUCCUGAUCGUUCAUCUAAACGACUAAACUGGAACCGGUACGGACUCAGGGAAUCCGACUGUCUAAUUAAAACAGAGGUGACAGAUGGUCCUUGCGGACGCUGACUGUCACUGAUUUCUGCCCAGUGCUCUGAAUGUUAAAUCGUAGUAAUUCGAGUAAGCGCGGGUAAACGGCGGGAGUAACUAUGACUCUCUUAAGGUAGCCAAAUGCCUCGUCAUUUAAUUGUUGACGCGCAUGAAUGGAUUAACGAGAUUCCUACUGUCCCUAACUACUAUCUAGCGAAACCACAGCCAAGGGAACGGGCUUGGCAAAAAUAGCGGGGAAAGAAGACCCUGUUGAGCUUGACUCUAGUUUGACAUUGUGAAGAGUCAUGAGAGGUGUAGCAUAGGUGGGAGUCUUCGGACGCCAAUGAAAUACCACCACUUUCAUCGACUCUUUACUUAUUCGGUUAAAAGAGAAUUGGUCGCAA